RNAcentral lists this ribosomal RNA (608 nucleotides) under uncultured Anaplasma sp. RNAcentral describes it as "bacterial SSU rRNA". It matches the Rfam family "Bacterial small subunit ribosomal RNA", at positions 851 to 1456 of the family's 1533-position model. Lineage: Bacteria; Pseudomonadati; Pseudomonadota; Alphaproteobacteria; Rickettsiales; Anaplasmataceae. The record is from RNAcentral.
GCUAACGCGUUAAGCACUCCGCCUGGGGACUACGGUCGCAAGACUAAAACUCAAAGGAAUUGACGGGGACCCGCACAAGCGGUGGAGCAUGUGGUUUAAUUCGAUGCAACGCGAAAAACCUUACCACUCCUUGACAUGGAGAUUAGAUCCUUCUUAACGGAAGGGCGCAGUUCGGCUGGAUCUCGCACAGGUGCUGCAUGGCUGUCGUCAGCUCGUGUCGUGAGAUGUUGGGUUAAGUCCCGCAACGAGCGUAACCCUCAUCCUUAGUUGCCAGCGGGUAAUGCCGGGCACUUUAAGGAAACUGCCGGUGGUAAACUGGAGGAAGGUGGGGAUGAUGUCAAGUCAGCACGGCCCUUAUGGGGUGGGCUACACACGUGCUACAAUGGUGACUACAAUAGGUUGCAAUGUCGCAAGGCUGAGCUAAUCCGUAAAAGUCAUCUCAGUUCGGAUUGUCCUCUGCAACUCGAGGGCAUGAAGUCGGAAUCGCUAGUAAUCGUGGAUCAGCAUGCCACGGUGAAUACGUUCUCGGGUCUUGUACACACUGCCCGUCACGCCAUGGGAAUUGGCUUAACUCGAAGCUGGUGCGCUAACCGAAAGGAAGCAGCCAU